Medicago truncatula (barrel medic) is the source of this 2987-nucleotide RNA transcript. It is a transcript of the gene named ubiquitin C-terminal hydrolase 22, with no coding region annotated. The record is from RefSeq and is a predicted model, not a curated record. NCBI's taxonomy places the organism in Eukaryota, Viridiplantae, Streptophyta, Magnoliopsida, Fabales, Fabaceae. The transcript has 4 exons.
CCCUCAAGACUUUGUUGUAUAUUGAUUGAUUAUUUCUCAGAAAAAAGUAAGAAACAUCUAUUAUUGUUUCAAGCAUGCUUAUGCAUUUUUUUGUUUAAUAUACCUUUUUAUUAUUAUUAUAUAUAUCUAUAUGAAUCAUGAUCAUCUUCAAAACCAUAUAACUUAAUAAUCAAAAGUAAAAACCUUAUUUCUUUCUGUCCUUUCAAUUGUUCUUGUUUUCUUGCUUUUUUCAUCUUUAUUCAAAGAAGACAAUAACAUCACUUUAAGGUUCUUCAACAAUCAUAUUCUGUCUUUGUUUUCAACCAUUCAAUUUGUGACAAAAAUUCCAUAUUUAUGAUGUUUCAAAGAAACCCUUUACACACAAACCCUGAACCAUGCAACCAUCUUUCAGAUUACAAGCUUAAACAUGGUUUCAAUGGCUACAAAGCCAUUCAAAAGCUACUUGUAACUUCUCCAAUUGGUAGAACUAGUUUGAAAAAACCAAAUUUAAGAAUACUCAGAUGCAGUUUUUGUAAUGGGUGUGAAAAGAGGGUUUUUUUAUGUUUGAUUUGUUCUUCAUUCUGUUGUUUGGAUCAUACCCUUUUGCAUAUUCAAACUGAAAAUGGUCAUGAUUUGUUUGUUGAUGUAGAAAGGUGUGAACUUUACUGUGGGGUGUGUUGUGAUCAAAUUUAUGACCCUGAUUUUGAUCAAUUUGUUAUGGCUAAACAUUCAAUGGUUUUGCCAAAUGGUGUUGUUGGAAAUGAGAGUAUUGGUCAGAGGUUGAUUAAGAGAAGGAGAUUGGUUUCUGGGGUUGGAUUGUAUUUGCAAAAUGAAUCUAAGUUUAGAUUUGAAACCAAAGAUCUGAGGGGAAAAUCUUGUUUUCCUGAAGGUUUGAGGGGCUUGAACAGUUUAGGUAGUACUUGUUUUAUGAAUUCUGUGUUGCAAGCAUUGCUACAUGCACCUCCAUUCAGGGACUAUUUCUUGAGUGGUGGACAUAGUUUGGAAGAUUGUAAAAGAAGAACGACGGAACGGUUGUGUUUGAUUUGUGAUAUCAAUACUGUUUUUUCAGCUAUGUAUUCCGGUGAUCGAAAUCCUUAUAGCCCUGCUCAGUUUCUCUACAGCUGGUGGCAGCAUUCAGCAAAUUUAGCGAGUUACGAACAGCAGGAUGCUCACGAGUUUUUCAUUUCAAUGUUAGAUGCAAUUCAUGAGAAAGAGGGCAUAACAAAGAAUGGAAGCAAAGGCAAUGGUGGUGACUGUCAAUGCAUUGCUCAUAGAGUGUUCUAUGGACAAUUGAGAUCAGAAGUUACAUGUAUGGCCUGUGGAUUCACCUCAACAACCUAUGACCCUUUUUUGGACAUUUCACUUAAUCUCGAUAUCAAUAUAUCUUUGACCGAAAAGGGUAAAAAACUUACCAAACAAAAUGCGGAUGACAACAUGUCGACACUUCUCGGUUGUUUGGAUUUGUUCACUCGGCCAGAGAAGCUAGGGUCAGAUCAGAAACUUUACUGCCAAAAUUGUAAGGAGAGGCAGAAUGCAUUGAAACAAAUGUCUAUUAGUAAACUCCCUUUGGUACUUACUUUGCAUGUAAAACGAUUUGAGCAUUCUUUCGUUAAGAAGUUAUCGAGAAAGAUUGACCGCUACCUACAAUUUCCAUUCUCCUUGGACAUGACUCCAUAUUUGUCCUCUUCUAUCCUCAGAGCCAAAUAUGGAAAUCGAAUUUUUAAUUUUGGAGGCGAUGAAUCAGAUACAUUUUCCAAGUUCGAGAUAUUCGCAGUGGUGACACAUUCGGGGACGCUCGAGUCUGGCCAUUAUGUUACUUUUGUACGGUUAAGGAAGCAAUGGUAUCGAUGUGACGAUGCUUGGAUAACGAAGGUUGAUGAGGCAACGGUAAGAGCUUCACAAUGUUAUAUGAUCUUCUAUGUUCAGAAGACUUUGUACAAUAAAGCAAAUGAAGAUUUGAGCCACCUUCCAAAUUCACCUGGAAGAGAGAUUUUGAUUCCUAUCGCUGGUUGUUGCUAGAGAGGAUAUUAAAGAGAGUACAUGGCAUCAAAACCAAAGAGAUCCCUGAAGCCAAUGCUCAACGAGAGAACCCUUUCUCAUUGAUUCUCUCGCUUGGCUUUGGAGAAUCACAGUUUGUAGUUGACAAAAACGAUUUUCAGCGGAUACUGAUAAAUUCAAACUGCGACAAGGUGGAUGUGGAAACGAAAAACGAGGUUGCUAAUUGGAUAUAUGCAUGUGGAUAUGUUGACCGCAGUUUGAAACGGAGAUUGAUGAGUCAGAAGCAACUCGAACUCUUCAACAACUUCCUACAAUUAUGCUUAAUGAAAUUCUUUAAAUGCAGGUUAGUCAUGCACAUAACUCUUCAACAACUUCCUAUAAUAAGAGUUGUUCAACCACCAUUCUUUUUUCUCUACCAAGGGAAUAACAUAGAGAAAAAAGAAAAAUCAAGGGACAAGAAAGGGGUUAUGUAGAUGAUUGUUUCUAAUUUUUGGGUGAAGGAACUUUGUAUUACUCAUGACCCUUUUACCUUGAGAGUGUGGAUUUGAAAAAAGAGGUUGCUUCAUUGAUGCAUAACAAACAAGGGUAUUGUUAAAGACAUGUUUGUUCAUUCAAAGGUGAUGUGAGGAAUAUUAUGGAUUUAACUUAAAGGCUCUUAUAUUUCCUUCUCAUAAGGAUGAAGAAAUGAAAAAACUUCCAUUAAACAAAAUAAAUAGAGCUAGACAGAUAAGUAGAGCUGCGUAGCAGAUGAGUUCAGUCGAUUUUUGGCACAAAAAAACCUAUGAUCAACUAAAGCAUGGAAUGUUACAAAUGGUAUUAGGGCAUACCUAUCCGAGUAUGAUGUGGUUGGGUGAUGAAUCAAGCGGAAGUUGGUGGGCAUGUGACACAUGAUGUUGACGAGGCUGGGGAGUAAUUGUCGGUGCAUAAUGCAUGUUCAAUGAGCAUCUUCAGUUGGCGACAUUUAAAGUAUUUUGGGAUGUUACAAAGUCCCACAUAAACUUGUCAAAAAA